Molecule: non-coding RNA, 1477 nt
Organism: Cucurbita pepo subsp. pepo (vegetable marrow)
Lineage: Eukaryota; Viridiplantae; Streptophyta; Magnoliopsida; Cucurbitales; Cucurbitaceae
Source: RefSeq, a predicted model, not a curated record
CGUAGAACAAUGGCACGACGAACCUUUGAUAAUCUUUUACUCGAAGACGAGAAUUUCUGUUCAGACGCACUUUGUUCCAGUUCGUUGUAGGUCGAUUUGUGAUUCCGAACUCAGGAAUGGUGUUGAUACCAUCUUCGUUGCGUUGUAUGUUUCUCUAAAUUUUUCUUCCGUUUCUCGGAGGAUGACGAAGAAGGAGAACAAUCUGGUUUUACUGUCGUCGGAUGAAGAAUACUGUGGUGGUCGAUCAUCCAGUUCGAAACGCAGUAAUCGAAAGACGAGAUCGCAAUCACCAUUUCAUCGGAAGAGCAAUCGGCAAGUAAAGACGUCUCGAAUCUUAGGUCAUAGUCACGUUCAGCUUCUCGCUUGAUGUGCAUCAGGUUCUGGAGGUUUUUAUAGAAACGAAUUAUCGAUUGAUAACCACAUUCAUUGGAGGAGCUUUCUGCAAACAAGAAAAAGGUCAUGCGUAAUUUGUAAUGGUUAAGAAUGUUCUGAAUCGAUGCUAUGCAUAUACUGUUAGGCUAUUUAUUUUGUUUUUUUUAAAUGUUUUGCAGUACAAGAUGGUAAAACAAAGAUCUAUCGCUUAUUGUGGACUUAGCUUAGUUGAUUUUUCAGUAGUGUCCACAGACUACCUACCCGCAUUGAAGUGGCUGGGUAGUAGGGCACCGGGCGUCACGAAAAUUUUAGGGUAUUGAGAGUGUCAUAUUUCAGAUGAAAUUGAAGAUUGGUAAAUUAGAUAGGCACACAGUUAUUAAGCAAUCCCAAGACGAAAUCCUUUUGCCUAUUCAUUUAAGACGGUGUCUGAACUCUCGGGAAUCAGCUUCCGGCAGAUGUUUCUCAGAGGUGUUGUCAUUGAAACUUUCGAGUUCUGACUUCUGAGUAGCCUUUACUGUGAAAGAAGAAAGCUCAACGAGAGUAAAGCGUGCUCAACUUCAAGCGGUUAGUGUAAUAUGCUAUGGUCUCAACGCCCUUACGGAGGUUGCAAUUCCUCUUUCAAUUUAAGGAAGGGAGAACGAGGAGAAGGAGUUCAGGGGAAGGCGUUCCAUCCAAGAAAUAAGGAGAGAGAGAGCUACAAAGAAACUCUUCUGACUGAGAAGCCAUGCAGACGCAGUUGACUCUUCCACAUAUCUCAAGGAGAUGGAGAAGGCCCCUCGAGACCUUGGCGCUCUAAUUUCCUAGGAGAAAUGCGCUCCUUUUAUGCUUCAUUUAGCAGGGACUUGUUGGGCAGGCGGCAUGAUGCUGGUACUUAUGAUGCUAAAACGAAAACAAGGAACUGCAAACAAGGAACUGAAAAUUGCAGUUGAUUUCUGAGAAGAACCUGUGAAGGCUGGACAUCCAAAAAUCACAUAUGCAGCAGACCUGUACCAGGUUUCUGGGGUUGUUGCAGUGGAGGUGGCUGGCGGGCAUCCAUUGAUUUUGUCCCCCGGAAAGAACAUCUCCUCCCUUGCUUUGUAGAUAAGAGAAUUGGUCAUAUAAGAUC